GACGAACGCUGGCGGCGUGCUUAACACAUGCAAGUCGAACGGCAAGGCCCUGCUUUUGUGGGGUGCUCGAGUGGCGAACGGGUGAGUAACACGUGAGUAACCUGCCCUUGACUUUGGGAUAACUUCAGGAAACUGGGGCUAAUACCGGAUAGGAGCUCCUGCUGCAUGGUGGGGGUUGGAAAGUUUCGGCGGUUGGGGAUGGACUCGCGGGUUAUCAGCUUGUUGGUGGGGUAGUGGCUUACCAAGGCUUUGACGGGUAGACGACCUGCGAGGGUGACCGGCCACAUUGGGACUGAGAGACGGCCCAGACUCGUACGGGAGGCAGCAGUGGGGAAUAUUGCACAAUGGGCGGGAGCCUGUUGCAGCGGCGCCGCGUGCGGGAUGACGGCCUUCGGGUUGUAAACCGCUUUCGCCUGUGACGAAGCGUGAGUGACGGUAAUGAGUAAAGAAGCACCGGCUAACUACGUG
Molecule: ribosomal RNA, 468 nt
Filed under: uncultured bacterium
Lineage: Bacteria
Description: partial 16S ribosomal RNA
Rfam family: Bacterial small subunit ribosomal RNA
Source: RNAcentral